This 237-nucleotide ribosomal RNA is filed under the name uncultured bacterium. Its description in RNAcentral is "partial 16S ribosomal RNA". It matches the Rfam family "Bacterial small subunit ribosomal RNA", at positions 540 to 776 of the family's 1533-position model. The record is from RNAcentral.
GUUGUUCGGAAUCACUGGGCAUAAAGGGCGCGUAGGCGGCUUAUCAAGUCAGGGGUGAAAUCCGGCAGCUCAACUGUCGAAGUGCCUUUGAUACUGAUGAGCUCGAGGGAGGUAGGGGUGUGCGGAACUUCCGGUGGAGCGGUGAAAUGCGUUGAUAUCGGAAGGAACGCCGGUGGCGAAAGCGGCGCACUGGACCUCUUCUGACGCUGAGGCGCGAAAGCCAGGGGAGCAAACGGG